AGCAGCCGCGGUAAUUCCAGCUCCAAUAGCGUAUAUUAAAGUUGUUGCAGUUAAAAAGCUCGUAGUUGAAUUUCGGGAUCAAUAUGUUGGUCGUGCCUUGGUACGUACUGGCAUCGUUGGUUCCUACCCUCUGAAGAACCUUGAUGUCAUUAAUUUGGUGUCUUGGGGAAUCAGGACUGUUACUUUGAAAAAAUUAGAGUGUUUAAAGCAAGCUCACGCUUGAAUACAUUAGCAUGGAAUAAUGAAAUAGGACGUUUGAUUCUAUUUUGUUGGUUUCUAGGAUUGACGUAAUGAUUAAUAGGGAUAGUUGGGGGCAUUAGUAUUCAAUUGUCAGAGGUGAAAUUCUUGGAUUUAUUGAAGACUAACUACUGCGAAAGCAUUUGCCAAGGAUGUUUUCAUUAAUCAAGAACGAAAGUUAGGGGAUCGAAGACGAUCAGAUACCGUCGUAGUCUUAACCAUAAACUAUGCCGACUAGGGAUCGGAUGAUGUUAAUUUUUAAUGACUCAUUCGGCGCCUUAAC
Molecule: ribosomal RNA, 520 nt
Filed under: uncultured Glomus
Lineage: Eukaryota; Fungi; Glomeromycota; Glomeromycetes; Glomerales; Glomeraceae
Description: SSU rRNA
Rfam family: Eukaryotic small subunit ribosomal RNA
Source: RNAcentral